This 1251-nucleotide ribosomal RNA is filed under the name Streptococcus gordonii. RNAcentral's name for it is "bacterial SSU rRNA". It matches the Rfam family "Bacterial small subunit ribosomal RNA", at positions 93 to 1333 of the family's 1533-position model. Lineage: Bacteria; Bacillati; Bacillota; Bacilli; Lactobacillales; Streptococcaceae. The record is from RNAcentral.
GAGUUGCGAACGGGUGAGUAACGCGUAGGUAACCUGCCUGGUAGCGGGGGAUAACUAUUGGAAACGAUAGCUAAUACCGCAUAAUAUUNAUUAUUGCAUGAUAAUUGAUUGAAAGNUGCAANUGCANCACUACCAGAUGGACCUGCGUUGUAUUAGCUAGUAGGUGAGGUAACGGCUCACCUAGGCGACGAUACAUAGCCGACCUGAGAGGGUGAUCGGCCACACUGGGACUGAGACACGGCCCAGACUCCUACGGGAGGCAGCAGUAGGGAAUCUUCGGCAAUGGACGAAAGUCUGACCGAGCAACGCCGCGUGAGUGAAGAAGGUUUUCGGAUCGUAAAGCUCUGUUGUAAGAGAAGAACGGGUGUGAGAGUGGAAAGUUCACACUGUGACGGUAUCUUACCAGAAAGGGACGGCUAACUACGUGCCAGCAGCCGCGGUAAUACGUAGGUCCCGAGCGUUGUCCGGAUUUAUUGGGCGUAAAGCGAGCGCAGGCGGUUAGAUAAGUCUGAAGUUAAAGGCUGUGGCUUAACCAUAGUACGCUUUGGAAACUGUUUAACUUGAGUGCAGAAGGGGAGAGUGGAAUUCCAUGUGUAGCGGUGAAAUGCGUAGAUAUAUGGAGGAACACCGGUGGCGAAAGCGGCUCUCUGGUCUGUAACUGACGCUGAGGCUCGAAAGCGUGGGGAGCGAACAGGAUUAGAUACCCUGGUAGUCCACGCCGUAAACGAUGAGUGCUAGGUGUUAGGCCCUUUCCGGGGCUUAGUGCCGCAGCUAACGCAUUAAGCACUCCGCCUGGGGAGUACGACCGCAAGGUUGAAACUCAAAGGAAUUGACGGGGGCCCGCACAAGCGGUGGAGCAUGUGGUUUAAUUCGAAGCAACGCGAAGAACCUUACCAGGUCUUGACAUCCCGAUGCCCGCUCUAGAGAUAGAGUUUUACUUCGGUACAUCGGUGACAGGUGGUGCAUGGUUGUCGUCAGCUCGUGUCGUGAGAUGUUGGGUUAAGUCCCGCAACGAGCGCAACCCUUAUUGUUAGUUGCCAUCAUUCAGUUGGGCACUCUAGCGAGACUGCCGGUAAUAAACCGGAGGAAGGUGGGGAUGACGUCAAAUCAUCAUGCCCCUUAUGACCUGGGCUACACACGUGCUACAAUGGCUGGUACAACGAGUCGCAAGUCGGUGACGGCAAGCUAAUCUCUUAAAGCCAGUCUCAGUUCGGAUUGUAGGCUGCAACUCGCCUACAUGAAGUCGGAAUC